GCCCGCUCAGAAACUCGAAAGAAGUUGACGGGGGCCCGCACAAGCGGAGGAGCAUGUGGUUUAAUUCGAUGAUACGCGAGGAACCUUACCUGGGCUCGAACGUAAGAUGACUGUAGGUGAAAGCUUACAUCUCUUCGGAGCAUUUUACGAGGUGCUGCAUGGUUGUCGUCAGCUCGUGCCGUGAGGUGUCGGGUUAAGUCCCAUAACGAGCGCAACCCCUACCUUUAGUUGCCAUCAGGUUAAGCUGGGGACUCUAAAGGAACUGCCUACGCAAGUAGUGAGGAAGGCGGGGAUGACGUCAAAUCAGCACGGCCCUUACGUCCAGGGCUACACACGUGCUACAAUGGCCGAUACAGAGGGCAGCUACCUGGUGACAGGAUGCAAAUCUCCAAAGUCGGUCUCAGUUCGGAUCGGAGUCUGCAACCCGACUCCGUGAAGUUGGAUUCGCUAGUAAUCGCGCAUCAGCCAUGGCGCGGUGAAUACGUUCCCGGGCCUU
This 496-nucleotide ribosomal RNA is filed under the name uncultured Sphingobacteriales bacterium. Its description in RNAcentral is "bacterial SSU rRNA". It matches the Rfam family "Bacterial small subunit ribosomal RNA", at positions 903 to 1382 of the family's 1533-position model. The record is from RNAcentral. Lineage: Bacteria; Pseudomonadati; Bacteroidota; Sphingobacteriia; Sphingobacteriales.